UAGGAUUUGGUGUAUUGUGGUAGCACGAAGAUUUUUGGAUUCUUAAGAUUAGGUUCAAUUCCUAUAAUUCUAG
This 73-nucleotide transfer RNA is filed under the name Macrotus waterhousii (Waterhouse's leaf-nosed bat). RNAcentral describes it as "tRNA-Gln". It matches the Rfam family "tRNA". From Rfam's summary of the family: Transfer RNA (tRNA) molecules are approximately 80 nucleotides in length. The record is from RNAcentral. Lineage: Eukaryota; Metazoa; Chordata; Mammalia; Chiroptera; Phyllostomidae.